GGGUGUGGAGAGCAGUCUGGUCUUUUCUUUAGUGAAGAUAUGUGGUUAGCUCUAGUCAUGAGACAGUGUGAUAUAUCAGCUAUGAUAGGGACUCUUUCCUCUUGAGGGGAGAUGCUGUUUGAAAUCUUUAAUAAUUAAAGAAAAAAUAAGAAAAAUCAACAAAACCCAAGGCGCAUCAUGGAGAGAAGAGGGAUGUAUGUAUGAAUGGGCAGGGCUGCAUGGGUGAGGCAAAGAAUGUGUGGGGAGGAUGGAACAGGGAAGGGAGAAGUCUGCUUCUUACUGAAGGUCUGGUACCUUAUUUCUGAUGCAUGUUGGUGGCCUUCCAGGGGGUGAUGAAUCUGCUCGCAGGUUGGCUGUAUGAGAAGACCACAGUGGGAAAUAGCUUUGACCUCAGUUGACUAGGUGAUGCCUUGAAACACUGGAAUCAUUGGGGGAUUCUAUAGAGGCUUUGCAAAAAAACUACACACACAAAAGCUUUCUGCUUCCAUGUUAUGUUAGCAAGUUCUUUAAACCUCUCGCUAAGCCAUUGCCUGUGAUAUUCUGAUGGAGUCAAUUUCUUGAGCUAAUUGUCAAAUGCAUGGGUAUUUCUCAGUCUUGGUUUGCUUUUCUGGUUGUCUAAUUCCUAGCAUCUUAUUUUUAAGUUACUGGAAAGAGUAACAGAAGUUUGAUAUUUUUAAAAACUGUUCACUGUUGCUGCUUUUUAAUCUUUUCUUGCCUUCUUCUUUCAAAGAAAGACUAGGGUUAUUUUCAGUUUUCCUUUUGUGUUGAGCUGCAGUUUGUUUGUUUAAUAAUCUCUUUGCCUGUUUCUUACAUAGAUAAGUAGUAUUCCUGUGUGACAGGCAAGGAAAAUGGCAAGCCCAGUCAAGAAGAGCGAGACUUGAUGGAUAAAAUACUGACUACAGUUAAAUGCAGCAUAGCUUUAUAAAUCUAUUUCAGUACUCCUGAGAAAAAUACUACCCCCAUCAUCACAGUAUGUAAGCACCUUUCAGGCAGUAAAAAUAUAUGUUCUGAGUCUUCUCUUCCUGUAUCUGGGCCUAUACAUCUGAUUCUUUGUGUGAGUACCUGACAGCUUACAUUCACAUGUUAGGAUGAUAGGUGGUGGUAGAGCAGAAAGAAGAAACUUGUUAAGUUUGUGUCUUUACGUGUGGAGCAGCCAGGCAGGGAUUCAAAUGCUUCAGUUGAGUAGUGCUGAACACACUAACCAGGGUUCUUUAGACUUGUACAUUUGUCCCCAAAGGAACCCCAAGGAGGGAAUAAAGGAGGCUUUUGCUUUGCCUCGCUCCGUGCUUGUGUCUGAUGCCAUUACUGUAAUGUAACUGCAUCUUUUAUUUUAACAUGCUUUUUCAGAGCAACAGAAGUUAACUAAAAAUAUGCUUUCUCAUCUUUGAGAAGUCAGUACUGUUUGAACGCAGCCUGUUUCAGUUCUCUCCUUUUCAGCUGUCAUUCCCAGCUGUCACAGUCUCCUUGAUGUGAGGACUUUACCCCUGUUGUUGCAAAGCAGUUUGGUUAACAACUGCUGUUGCCCAAAGGUUAAAACCUGAAAAGUGGUAUCUUUUGUUGCUUCCCUUACAAAUGUUUGGUUUCUGUUUGGUAGCAUCUCCCUCACUGCUCUGCCUUCGAUGUGUUCCAUCCUAUUUUUGGAGAACUAUGCAAAGCAAAUGAACAUGUCUAAUGAUGAAUAUAUUCUUCUGGAUGUGUUAGGGGGCUGAAUUAUGACUGAGGAGAGAGUAAAAAAGAGAAAUUAUAUCCUGUGCUGACAUGACAUUUAAUCCUAUCCAAUUAGGAUCUGUAAGUACAAGUAGCAGUCCUUCUUGAGUGAAAGGACAUGUAAAAUUACUUCUUUAAACGCUAAGAACCCCAUAUGAUGUUGGAGUGUAUCAGCAGGAAAAACAACUCUUUCUUAACUAACUACAUAGUAUUAUGUACUUCUUUUAAGUAUGUUUUUACAUUUGAUACAGAUAUCCUCUGUCUGCAAGCUCUUCUGUUUGUUAGCUUCUCACAAGUCAAGCAUAAGAUCCAGGAACAUUAGAGGAGCUGGCAAGAGCACUGGGGAUAAAUGGAUUAUAAACCUGCCAUUUCACUGUGAUCCUGAGAGCGACUUUCAUGGAUGACACUUGAAAUAAAGGAGUUAAAAGUCUCUGAUGUGGUGGAGAGAAUAUUUUUACCUAUGAACUAAUGUGCCUGUCCUCAUUAGGAUCAAAUGCUACUUGGACCAGUGACGCUAGGGAGCACUUUCAGUUAUUGUGAUAUGCAAUGUUUUCAUUAUUUCAGCAAACAUCCCUUUUCAAAUUCUGUCUGACAGACAAGUGACAGACACUGAGGGCAGUUUUCUGUUCCAUUUUGUAGAGACAUCUGUCCACAGAGUGUAUAUGGGAGAAAGCAAAAUAAAAUUACGAAACAUCACAAAUGUGACAUGAUUGAAAAAGGCCUGGGGAAAUCUAUUCCAUCUGAAAAAGUGCAAACUAAAGAACAGAAAAAUAGUACCUUAAUUACAGGGAUUGGGUUGCUUUUUGCUAAACUGUAGAUUUAACCUAAAGAAGCAGGUUGGGUUUUUUGUUUAUUUUCCUAACACCUUCCUCCUUCCCCAAUCUAACAUAAUUUUUCUUAGUGCCCAAAAAUAUAAGGGAGGUGAGUUGUUCCUUUUACCUAAGUACAUUUGUUUUAAACAGUUUUUCUCUAUGCCUUGAGGAAUUUCUGCCUGGUGUCCUCUCAGGUAUGCAUCAGAUUUUCCUUCUUUCCACUUUCUAGUCCAUUUUAUUCUUUCUCUUAAGCUCUUGUAUGCUAUCUGCAGUAAGUCAUGUGAAGUUCUAGACUGGAAAAGGAGGUACUGUUCAGAAUCUGUAACCAGUUUUAGUCUUCUGUCCUGUUUUGUUUCCUUUCCCCUCCCCCCAACCCCCCUCCCCCCCCCCCCCCCCCCCCCCCCCCCCAGUAUUCCUGGUACAGCUAUUUGGUAAAUUGAAGCAAAGUGGAACUAGUUGCAUACUACUGGAUUCAUUCUUAUGUUAUUGUUCACAGGAAGAGCCUAGGUACAGUUGGCCCCACAAAGAGCAUGAGGUGGUGAAUAUGGUCUUUGAAGCAGAUUUGGAGCUGUAAUGACUGGCUUCCUUCCCUGCUGCUGUCCCUUCCCCUUCCUUGCAAAGCAUUUUCAUUUGAAAAACUAAGGUGUGGUCAUCAGGCAUAUCUGUUCUCAACUUCCAGUAAUUUUUUGCUCACUGCUGAGCUACACCAUAAUUACAUAUGCAAAUGUAGUAUUUUUUUGCCCUCUUACCUUGUACAUGUGGAAGAGAAAGAUAAGGUUGCAGAGUACUGCCAGGGAUGGUGCUGCAGAUGGGCCACACAAGGAGAGAAGUACUCGUCCUUCCGGACAAGGCUCAUGGGUCAUUUCAGAACUUCAGUGACACGAAGGCAACAAGAAAACACUGUUCAUGCCAACUUUAAACUUCAGAUAGGAGCAGAUUGUUGGACAACUUGUUAUAAUAACAUUUUGUUACAUUCUAGCUACCAAGUGCUAAGACUGACUUUGUAUUUGCAACAGGAAUUUGUUUUGUAGACAUACCUAGGUAUAGUUAUCAAAAUUUUAAUCUCUUAGGCUGGUUUGUAUGCUCCAUGUGGUAACACAAGGUAAACUUUGGUCAUUCAUAACAGUGUUGUAAUGAUACUAAAACGACAGACACUAACUCUAUGGAAAAGACUAUUGUGACAACUUCUGCUCUUAAGCCUAUCUACCUUUAAAGAACUCAUACUUCUUCCUUCAACCAGAGAAGCAUUAGGUAGGACUGCAAUCAAAUGUGUGUCUUGUUGGUUCUUGGGUCUACUGUCAAAACACUUUGUAGCUGAAGUGUGUAUGCACAUGCGCAACUGUGUGCUGUUUUCCUGCCUUUUCCUUUUGUCUGUCAGGCUUCUGGCUGAUAGCAGAUUAGCUAUCUGAAUGUGGGCAGCAAAGAGUAAUGGGCUGUACAAAAUGCCUGAGGCUUCUUGCAUAUAAUAAAGUGACUUCACUAUAAAGCAAAAAAUGACAAGCCUGCCAUGGAGGAUAUCUGUACGGGGGAGAUGGAGAGUAGCCUUUGGUUUAUGAUCAUGUUAAUGAGUGUAAAAUAAACUUAAUUUUUUUUCAACUGUCAAAAGUAUUCCUAGGUGCUUUAUAGAGUAGUGUUGAAGAUCCUUCCAGCAGGAAAAUAGCGAUGAGCUAAAUGUAUGAUGUACUACUUGCUAUUCCUGAUUGCUGUAUAAGUGUGGGGGAAGGAAGGGUGUAAUAGCAUGAUGGCUCAGUUUCAUUUUCACCAUGCAGGUGUAUUUUUUUUUUUCUUUUCAAUUUUUUAUUCCUAGUGUUUUGAUUAGUUACAGGAUUACAUAAUCUGCCCUGCGGAAGUGUGUUUGGAUUAAGUCUUUUGAAAGAUAUGCUAAUACAGAUUUGAAGGAAAUUGGGCCAGAGACAUGGCUGAGACAGAGGGAAUCCAGAUGUUAGAGGGAUAUAAAAUAUAAAGCUGUAGUGAGUUGGAUCAAGCAGAGGUACAAGUCUGUAUGCAGAAGCACAGUAGCAGGAAAAAUAACUAGGAAUCCUAUCAAGGUUUUUGACAACUGUACUUAACCCACUAUAAGAAUCUGGUGUUUAAACAACCUCUUAAUUGUCUACAGUUUACUGUGUUUGUAAGCAGUAGUGGCUGCUCUUGCCAUUGUAACUUCUAUUUACAGCUUUCAAGAAGAUGUUUUGUUUGAUGGCAUGCAAGCUCUAAAAGAUGCUCUGCCCCCCAGAAAAAAGGUGCACUGCUUUCAUUUAUGCUAAAUGGAGGAUCUUCCUGGAUUGCUUCUGCUCUGGAAAUGAAGAUGGCUUCUGAUAAACACAGGCUUUCAAACUAAAUGGCAAGUCAGCAUAAAAACAAUUCGGUAUAUAGAAUAAGGAGGAAUUGUUAAUACGUGCAAAACUUGUCCUAAAAUGCUUAAAGAAACCUCUUGACUAAUAUUUGUUUUAGUCUGUCCCUCAUUUGUUGGAGUCAGGUUGUAUCCACAGUGACAUAUUGAACAAAGUCGACUGUGGAAAUCUAUGCUUUAGCAGCAAAAUGUACAAAUUAAAACUUGUAAUAAAUAAAAUGUGAAUACUGUGUGAGUAA
Molecule: long non-coding RNA, 5108 nt
Organism: Tyto alba (common barn owl)
Lineage: Eukaryota; Metazoa; Chordata; Aves; Strigiformes; Tytonidae
Exons: 2
Source: RefSeq, a predicted model, not a curated record